ACAGUUUGCGGCGCUCCGAUUGGCUAAAAGUCUACAGUUCUAUGUUUCUACAGUUCUACGUUAGGAAUUGCACCACUGUCGACCCGACGCCUGCGAAUUCCCCAAAUGUGGGAAUCUCGACUGCAUAAUUUGUGGUAGUGGGGGACAGCAUACGCGCUCUCCCCUG
This is a small nuclear RNA of Cyprinodon tularosa, 166 nucleotides long. RefSeq annotates it as U1 spliceosomal RNA. The record is from RefSeq and is a predicted model, not a curated record. The transcript has a single exon. Lineage: Eukaryota; Metazoa; Chordata; Actinopteri; Cyprinodontiformes; Cyprinodontidae.